Molecule: ribosomal RNA, 253 nt
Filed under: uncultured bacterium
Lineage: Bacteria
Description: partial 16S ribosomal RNA
Rfam family: Bacterial small subunit ribosomal RNA
Source: RNAcentral
UACGUAGGAUGCGAGCGUUGUCCGGAAUUAUUGGGCGUAAAGAGAACGUAGGUGGCUUUUUAAGUUCGGUCUUAAAGACCGGGGCUCAACCCCGGGAAUGGACUGAAAACUGGAAGGCUAGAGGAUGUUAGAGGACGGUGGAAUUCCCAGUGUAGCGGUGAAAUGCGUAGAUAUUGGGAUGAACACCAGUGGCGAAAGCGGCCGUCUGGAACAUUCCUGACACUGAGGUUCGAAAGCUCGGGGAGCAAACAGG